Limanda limanda (common dab) is the source of this 2609-nucleotide RNA transcript. It is a transcript of the gene named adenosine deaminase domain containing 2, with no coding region annotated. The transcript has 13 exons. Lineage: Eukaryota; Metazoa; Chordata; Actinopteri; Pleuronectiformes; Pleuronectidae. The record is from RefSeq and is a predicted model, not a curated record.
CCAGGGUGGAAGGAGGUCCAGACCAUAGACUGUAUAUGGUCCAGACACUGAAGGUUGCUUGAAGAUCAUGGAGGACCGAGAAGCAUUUAAUUCCAGGCCAAGAAGAGUUGCUGCCAGGUUUCAGUCUCAGCCAGUCGUUCAGUCAAGCUCCCAGUUUGAUCUACCAGUUUACAGCGGUGCUUCUCAGCUGAGCCCUCAGAAAGAUGCACACGCCUCUGAAGACCAUGACCAAGCGGAAGAGGUGCUACUUUCUAAAGGAAGUGACAGACUCAGAAUGGAGAGGACUUCCGCCCCCAAACCCAAAGAUAAACUUGUUUCCUUUGACCUCCAGUUGGGAGAUGAGGAUGAAGACUCAGAUGAUGAGGCAACCGUCUUCUCUCUCCCUGGUGUGUCACCUGGUGAAAGCAUAACCCUGGAUGAAGAGAACAUCCACGACCAGAUCAAGGACUUAGAGAUUGAAGACAAUAGCACAAAGCCUGAAGUCUGGCAGAGUGAGUGGCACAAGAAACACAUGGCAGCAAUAAGUAGUGAGAAGUUUGACAGCCUCCUGAAGAUGUUUCCUGAAUUCCACGACUCCAAGAGCAACAUGGCGGCAUUUGUUUUGAUAAGGGAAGUGUUGGAUACUUCAGGUCAACUCUGUGAGCAUUACAAGGUGGUGGCAUUGGGGGAUGGAGGUUCAGGCUGCAACCAGCAGCUUCGCUACAAUGGGACGAUGGUCCAUGACUGCAACGCCAUCAUCAUCGCCAGGCGGGCUCUCCUAAGGUUUCUGUACAAACAGCUUCUGCUCUUCUUUGAUGCUGAUCCAAAUGCCAAGGAGAAGUGUAUUUUUGAUAGCAGUGCAGAAAGCCAUCAGCUUCAGCUCAAACCCAAGAUCAGCCUGCACCUCUACACCAAUCAGUGUCCUGAAGGAUCCGCUAAGGACUUUUGCUUCAAGGGCUCUGUGAAACACUCUUGGACAGCAAUGAAGCUGCUGUAUCACGCCAAGGGCCAGCUGGUCCCUAUAGCCUACCUUGAACCGAGUUUCUGGGGAGCUAAAGUCUGCUGCAUGUCCGGUAGUGACAAGCUGUGUCGCUGGUCUUUCACUGGGGUUCAGGGUGCAUUACUGAGCCACUUCAUUCAGCCACUCUACAUCACCAGCAUGGUGCUAGGGGGCCAGAAGCUCGUUAAUGUCGAGGGGUCUGAUGUCACCGACGUGGAUGGUGAUGGAUGGGAAGAGUUUCUUCCGCCAUCCUACAAGAAACACAAGAUGGUCUGCCUCUGUGGCGACUACGUGGGGCCUGGUGUGACCUCCUCACAGAACCUCAGCAUCAACUGGUGCCUUGGCGACAAGGAUAUUGAAGUUCUGGACAGUAGCAAGGGCUACAUUGUUGAUGGCUCUCCCUUUAUUAGUGGGCCUGGCUUUUCCAGCAGACUCUGCAAGAGAGCCUUCUACAAUUACUUCCUCCGAGUUGCAGAGCUGAGCGGGCACAGCUAUCUGCUGGAGCUUCCCACCUACCACAGCGUCAAGGUGGAAGCUGAAGUCUACCAGACGGUCAAACUUCUGGUCAAGCAACAGUUUGUAAACAUCAACGUAGGUCCGUUGAAUUCAAAAGAGUUGGUGGAUUGCUUUCAUGCUUGAACUCUUUUUUUUUUUUCUUUCUUUCUUCUUCCAGAAAAUUGCCAUGUAAAAGUUUGUCCAAGUUCCUUUUGAGAUUUUGUUCAAUGUUGUUCUGUGAACAAAACAUCCUUUAAAGUAAUUUGAUAUUUAUUUGCAUGUAUAGCGUUGGUGUUGUUUUCUGUUUGUGUAGGUGUGAAAAAUAAACUGGACCUUACCGCACCACAGUGAAGUAGUCCGUUUGAAUGAGUUGUGGGUGGAAACAUGCAGCUUCUGGGCUAAAGCUUCAGGAAACAUUGUCCUCGUCCCUGUCAAACAGGACUGAGCGACAUUUUCACCGUGUCGUUGUGUAGCCAAAAGGUCAACAACACAGCAAGUUGUGUUAAGGUGCUGAACGAGGCCAUUAUGAAAAGACUGGGUUCAUUGUCACCAUGGCUCCACUCACCAGUUGCUUGGCAACCAACUCCUCCUUGGAAUUGAUGCAACCACUCAUGUCUUCAUAAUUAUAGGCUCUUUUAUAAUAUUUAGCAAAAAACAAAAAAAACUGUAGAAUAGUAUUGUAAAAUGAUCCAAUGAAGGUGGAAUGCAAUGGUGCUUUUUGGCAAAAUGUAUCUACACUGAUUACACAUCUCUGAGUUUAAGCUGCUGGGGUUUUUUUGGUAGUUGCAGUAAUUUGCAUGUCGACGUGUAAAUGUGUGAUUCAUCUUUGCUCUUGCUGGUCGAGCAGGUGAUUCCUCCAGCCAGGUUUCGGGUUCAUCUCCCUCUGAGCAGCGGGGCCUCCUGCCCGAGCCGGGCUUCUCUGGGCUCGAGGAAGAAUCAGGGAAUUCACAAAAAGGCCUGAAAGAUUCGGCCUCUUGCAGGACGAGUCCCUCUGGCUGGAGUCGGAGGAAGCGGACGUGCUUUCCGUGGAGCUGGACUUGACUGAGUGGACCGACGGCACCGAUGCUCUCGGAGGAUUUGAGUUGGGUUUGGCCACAACUCCAGCCGAGGCCGAGUGGCUCCACUCUGGAUGGCA